Molecule: non-coding RNA, 135 nt
Organism: Triticum urartu
Lineage: Eukaryota; Viridiplantae; Streptophyta; Magnoliopsida; Poales; Poaceae
Source: Rfam
AUCAUACUUUAUUCGCUCCAAAUUAUUUGAUCCAUAUUUAUCUAGACACGGAUGUAUCUAGACAUUAAACAAGUAUAGAUACAUCCGUAUUUAAACAAAUUCAAGUUAACUAAUUUGGAACGGAGGGAGUACUAC